CUUGGCUCAGUCGGUAGAGCGACGCAUUCGUAAUGCGUAGGUCGGGGGUUCGAGUCCCCCA
This 61-nucleotide transfer RNA is filed under the name uncultured Anaerobutyricum sp. It matches the Rfam family "tRNA", at positions 7 to 64 of the family's 71-position model. Rfam says of the family: Transfer RNA (tRNA) molecules are approximately 80 nucleotides in length. Their secondary structure includes four short double-helical elements and three loops (D, anti-codon, and T loops). Lineage: Bacteria; Bacillati; Bacillota; Clostridia; Lachnospirales; Lachnospiraceae. The record is from RNAcentral.